This 467-nucleotide ribosomal RNA is filed under the name uncultured bacterium. RNAcentral describes it as "partial 16S ribosomal RNA". It matches the Rfam family "Bacterial small subunit ribosomal RNA", at positions 28 to 507 of the family's 1533-position model. The record is from RNAcentral.
GACGAACGCUGGCGGCGUGCUUAACACAUGCAAGUCGAACGGAAAGGCCUCUUUCGGGGGGUACUCGAGUGGCGAACGGGUGAGUAACACGUGAGUAACCUGCCCUUGACUUUGGGAUAACUUCAGAAAACUGGGGCUAAUACCGGAUAGGAGCUCCUGCUGCAUGGUGGGGGUUGGAAAGUUUCGGCGGUUGGGGAUGGACUCGCGGCUUAUCAGCUUGUUGGUGGGGUAGUGGCUUACCAAGGCUUUGACGGGUAGCCGGCCUGAGAGGGUGACCGGCCACAUUGGGACUGAGAUACGGCCCAGACUCCUACGGGAGGCAGCAGUGGGGAAUAUUGCACAAUGGGUGGAAGCCUGAUGCAGCAACGCCGUGUGCGGGAUGACGGCCUUCGGGUUGUAAACCGCUUUCGCUCAUGACGAAGCUUUGUGUGACGGUAGUGGGUAAAGAAGCACCGGCUAACUACGUG